AGAGUUUGAUCAUGGCUCAGAUUGAACGCUGGCGGCAUGCUUUACACAUGCAAGUCGAACGGCAGCACAGGGAGCUUGCUCCCGGGUGGCGAGUGGCGCACGGGUGAGUAAUACAUCGGAACGUGUCCUGUUGUGGGGGAUAACUGCUCGAAAGGGUGGCUAAUACCGCAUGACACCUGAGGGUGAAAGCGGGGGAUCGCAAGACCUCGCGCAAUUGGAGCGGCCGAUGCCCGAUUAGCUAGUUGGUGAGGUAAAGGCUCACCAAGGCGACGAUCGGUAGCUGGUCUGAGGAGGACGACCCAGCCACCACUGGGACUGAGACACCGGCCCAGACUCCCGUACGGGAGCA
This 349-nucleotide ribosomal RNA is filed under the name uncultured bacterium. RNAcentral describes it as "bacterial SSU rRNA". It matches the Rfam family "Bacterial small subunit ribosomal RNA", at positions 8 to 349 of the family's 1533-position model. The record is from RNAcentral.